AUACUUAUCUGGCAGGGGAGAUACCAUGAUCAGGCAGUUGGUUUUCCCAGGGUGAGGCUCAUCCAUUGCACUUGAGCUGUGCUGACCCCUGCGAUUUCCUCAAAUGUGGGAAACUCGAUUGCAUAACUUGUGGUAGUGGGGGACUGCAUUUGCGCUCUCCCCUG
Molecule: small nuclear RNA, 164 nt
Filed under: Ochotona princeps (American pika)
Lineage: Eukaryota; Metazoa; Chordata; Mammalia; Lagomorpha; Ochotonidae
Description: U1 spliceosomal RNA (ENSOPRG00000017653.1)
Rfam family: U1 spliceosomal RNA
About the family: U1 is a small nuclear RNA (snRNA) component of the spliceosome (involved in pre-mRNA splicing).
Source: RNAcentral